CUGAGCAGAGAUGAGGAAUGUUGUUUCUGGUGGGCUGUGCGGACAGAUGCUGGUAUGGUGAAAUGAAGCUUCUACUCACUGGAAGAUCAACUUCUAAUCCUAAUGGCUAUGAGCCAGAAUCCAUUCCAGGGGCCACUUCUGAGAGUUGCUUCCACCAUUUGGAUAAAGAUCAAGGCUCUCUUGAUUUAGGAUUACAGGAUCAAGCGACAAGACAAGGCCUGUUCAGCCAUCAGAAGCUUUCCAGCGACACUGCGAGGACCACCUGGGGAAGGGUGCCAUGUCAGUAUCAAUAGCUCUAGAAGAUUCUGUGGAGCAAGGAGCUCCUUCCUGUCUGUGAAUGUCUGCUCAGGCUACCAACUGUGGAGUGGCUGUUACAUCAGGUGUUGUUCUGAACACUUGGGUACAGCAAGAGUGAAACUAUGGCCAAUCCCUGUGUUUAUGGAGCUUACAUGAGGGCUGACUGCUGAACUACAAAUACCAUGCUUAGCUUCUAAAGCUGCAGGCUGGAAAAGCCACACCACGAAACGUUGGCAGAGGUCAGGCUUGUUUUGGAAGUGCCCAAUGGGGUCAGUGGUCUUUUUGCAAAAGGAGAGGCUGUCUGCCAGUCCUGAACGGAGGACGAAUGAAGGAAGUGAAGCUCACAGGGUGGCUGCUGGUGGUGACAUUUCCUCUCCACUUUCUGCUGGCAGUGGCUAUUCACAAAGGAGUCUGCCCACUGCCUGGGAUUCUGUGAUAUAUGCCAACACCUUCCCCUUUACUUAACUCGGAGCACUCAGCACCUUUGAUGUAAGGGCGAAUGCCUUUUUAUUUUUAAUCUGAACUGAACCUUUCCACAGGUGCUGGCUACCCCAGAGCUCACCAUAGCAUUUUCCUCUCAAGCACCCAGGGCUCCACAAUGAUGGCAGGCACCAAGAUCUGAAGAAGACUCCCUGUAGCAUCUCAUUUGCACUUCAUCCUCCGUGGCUUCCCUAGCUUCAGCUAGCUUACAGAACUGUUUGCUUUACCUAACCCAAGCUGGAGUGGCAACUGGGUCUCAGACUGUUGUCCUUGACGCUGAUAUGGGACUAUAAGACACUGCCUUUUUGGAAACUGUCUUUCAUGGAUUUGCAGUGAAACUUGGUCACAGAAUUCUGGCCCAAUGCCUGUCAAGGGUGUGGGAGUUGGAGUCAGCCAGGCCCAUGGAACCUUCCACAGCCCUCUUAUCUGUUAGUAGAAGGUGGGAGUAACCACACUGAGAACUGAAGGCCAUUAAGCUUGCAAAAGAGCCUCCAGAUGUUGCCAUGGAGCCAGCGCUUCUGACCUGGACCAGGCUUGGUCUAUGCAGGGACCUCACAGCAGUGGCUUCAUGGACCUUCAGCUCUCAGCACACACAUGCUGUGUUGUAACCUCCCAUCUGAUGUCAGAGUUUGUCUGAAUGGCCAUUGUAGUAUUAUAGAAAUGAUAUAUCACCUCUGAGAUUUUGGUCAUAAA
This 1470-nucleotide long non-coding RNA is filed under the name Cricetulus griseus (Chinese hamster). RNAcentral describes it as "lncRNA (ENSCGRG00015002866.2)". Lineage: Eukaryota; Metazoa; Chordata; Mammalia; Rodentia; Cricetidae. The record is from RNAcentral.